GGAGGAAGCAGGGGAUCGCAAGACCUUGCGCUUUUGGAGCGGCCGAUGCCUGAUUAACUUGUUGGUGAGGUAAAAGCUCACCAAGGCUCCGAUCAGUAGCUGGUCUGAGAGGACGACCAGCCACACUGGGACUGAGACACGGCCCAGACUCCUACGGGAGGCAGCAGUGGGGAAUUUUGGACAAUGGGGGCAACCCUGAUCCAGCCAUGCCGCGUGAGUGAAGAAGGCCUUCGGGUUGUAAAGCUCUUUCAGCCGGAACGAAACGGUCACGGUUAAUACCCGUGACUACUGACGGUACCGGAAGAAGAAGCACCGGCUAACUACGUGCCAGCAGCCGCGGUAAUACGUAGGGUGCGAGCGUUAAUCGGAAUUACUGGGCGUAAAGCGUGCGCAGGCGGUUUUGUAAGUCAGAUGUGAAAUCCCCGGGCUUAACCUGGGAACUGCGUUUGAAACUACAAGGCUAG
This 464-nucleotide ribosomal RNA is filed under the name uncultured bacterium. Its description in RNAcentral is "bacterial SSU rRNA". It matches the Rfam family "Bacterial small subunit ribosomal RNA", at positions 199 to 644 of the family's 1533-position model. The record is from RNAcentral.